Oryza glaberrima (African rice) is the source of this 204-nucleotide non-coding RNA. Lineage: Eukaryota; Viridiplantae; Streptophyta; Magnoliopsida; Poales; Poaceae. The record is from Rfam.
UUUAAGUGCAACCAUAAUUUUACGUACCCACUUUUAACCGUCCGUUUUAUUUAAAAAAGUUUUAUAAUUAAUAUUUUUAUUGUUAUGAGAUGAUAAAAUAUAAAUAAUAUUUUAUAUGUGAACUUCUGUUUUCAAUUUUUUUACGCAUGCAUGCCAUGCGUGACAGAAACGAAAAAUUAUAUGUGCGUCAUAGUUUCAUCUUUG